GAUGAACGCUGGCGGCGUGCCUAACACAUGCAAGUCGAACGGGUUAUAACGAAACGCUUGCGUAUUGUUAUAACUAGUGGCGGACGGGUGAGUAACGCGUGGGUAAUCUGCCCUCUGGCGGGGAAUAACUGUGAGAAAUCACAGCUAAUACCGCAUGAGCCUCCGGUAUCGCAUGGUAGUGGAGGGAAAGAUGUAUCACCAGAGGAGGAGUCCGCGUCUGAUUAGCUAGUUGGUGGGGUAAGAGCCCACCAAGGCGACGAUCAGUAGCCGGCCUGAGAGGGUGAACGGCCACAUUGGGACUGAGACACGGCCCAAACUCCUACGGGAGGCAGCAGUGGGGAAUAUUGCACAAUGGGGGGAACCCUGAUGCAGCAACGCCGCGUGAAGGAAGAAGGGUUUCGGCUCGUAAACUUCUAUCGACAGGGAAGAAGAAUGACGGUACCUGAAUAAGAAGCCCCGGCUAACUACGUGCCAGCAGCCGCAGUAACAC
Molecule: ribosomal RNA, 490 nt
Filed under: uncultured bacterium
Lineage: Bacteria
Description: bacterial SSU rRNA
Rfam family: Bacterial small subunit ribosomal RNA
Source: RNAcentral